AACGAACGCUGGCGGCAUGCCUAACACAUGCAAGUCGAACGAGACCUUCGGGUCUAGUGGCGCACGGGUGCGUAACGCGUGGGAACCUGCCCUUAGGUUCGGAAUAACUCACCGAAAGGGGUGCUAAUACCGGAUAAUGUCUUCGGACCAAAGAUUUAUCGCCUUUGGAUGGGCCCGCGUUGGAUUAGCUAGUUGGUAGGGUAAAAGCCUACCAAGGCGACGAUCCAUAGCUGGUCUGGGAGGAUGAUCAGCCACACUGGGACUGAGACACGGCCCAGACUCCUACGGGAGGGAGCAGUGGGGAAUAUUGGACAAUGGGCGAAAGCCUGAUCCAGCAAUGCCGCGUGAGUGAUGAAGGCCUUAGGGUUGUAAAGCUCUUUUACCCGGGAUGAUAAUGACAGUACCGGGAGAAUAAGCUCCGGCUAACUCCGUG
RNAcentral lists this ribosomal RNA (433 nucleotides) under uncultured bacterium. Its description in RNAcentral is "partial 16S ribosomal RNA". It matches the Rfam family "Bacterial small subunit ribosomal RNA", at positions 29 to 507 of the family's 1533-position model. The record is from RNAcentral.